UUCAUUGUCAUCCCAAUAUUGACCAUAGGACCCUUUCCUUUGUCUGGCCAACUGGUUAGCAGUUGUGUUAGCUGGUUUGUAACACCCCAAACCCGGCCUAGACGUUAUGACCGGAUCUGACAUGCCACAUCGAAUCGUUCAAAACAUUUUAUAUUGUUGAUCCAGAAAAACUUACUUAGUGUUUUAAAAGAUAAUUUCAUUAUAGG
Molecule: long non-coding RNA, 206 nt
Filed under: Gossypium barbadense (sea-island cotton)
Lineage: Eukaryota; Viridiplantae; Streptophyta; Magnoliopsida; Malvales; Malvaceae
Description: long non-coding RNA (GBAR_LNC004216)
Source: RNAcentral